CGACCGGCGCACGGGUGCGUAACGCGUAUGCAAUCUACCCACCGCAGAGGGAUAGCCCGUGGAAACAUGGAUUAAUACCUCAUAAUACAGGGGGCCCACCUGGGCAUAUUGUUAAAGUUUUCGAACGGCAGUGGAUGAGCAUGCGUCCCAUUAGCUAGUUGGUACGGUAACGGCGUACCAAGGCGAUGAUGGGUAGGGGUUCUGAGAGGAUGAUCCCCCACACUGGUACUGAGAUACGGACCAGACUCCUACGGGAGGCAGCAGUAGGGAAUAUUGGUCAAUGGACGGAAGUCUGAACCAGCCAUGCCGCGUGCAGGAAGACGGCCUUCUGGGUUGUAAACUGCUUUUAACAGGGAAGAAUUAGCUCUUGCGAGAGUGAAUGACGGUACCUGAAGAAUAAGCACCGGCUAACUCCGUGCCAGCAGCCGCGGUAAUACGGAGGGUGCGAGCGUUGUCCGGAUUUAUUGGGUUUAAAGGGUGCGUAGGCGGCCUGUUAAGUCAGUGGUGAAAGGUAUCAGGCUCACUGAUGACGUGCCAUUGAAACUGGCGGGCUUGAGUACAGAC
This 564-nucleotide ribosomal RNA is filed under the name uncultured bacterium. RNAcentral's name for it is "bacterial SSU rRNA". It matches the Rfam family "Bacterial small subunit ribosomal RNA", at positions 92 to 653 of the family's 1533-position model. The record is from RNAcentral.